This 540-nucleotide ribosomal RNA is filed under the name Haloterrigena sp. RNAcentral's name for it is "bacterial SSU rRNA". It matches the Rfam family "Archaeal small subunit ribosomal RNA", at positions 54 to 594 of the family's 1478-position model. The record is from RNAcentral. Lineage: Archaea; Methanobacteriati; Methanobacteriota; Halobacteria; Halobacteriales; Natrialbaceae.
CUAGUUGCACGAGUUCAGACUCGUAGCAGAUAGCUCAGUAACACGUGGCCAAACUACCCUAUGGAUCCGAAUAACCUCGGGAAACUGAGGCUAAUUCGGAAUACGAUUCCCACGCUGGAACUGCGGGGAAUCCGAAACGUUACGGCGCCAUAGGAUGUGGCUGCGGCCGAUUAGGUAGACGGUGGGGUAACGGCCCACCGUGCCGAUAAUCGGUACGGGUUGUGAGAGCAAGAGCCCGGAGACGGUAUCUGAGACAAGAUACCGGGCCCUACGGGGCGCAGCAGGCGCGAAACCUUUACACUGCACGCGAGUGCGAUAAGGGGACUCCAAGUGCGAGGGCAUAUCGUCCUCGCUUUUCGCGACCGUAAGGUGGUCGCAGAAUAAGUGCUGGGCAAGACCGGUGCCAGCCGCCGCGGUAAUACCGGCAGCACGAGUGAUGACCGCUAUUAUUGGGCCUAAAGCGUCCGUAGCUGGCCGUGCAAGUCCAUCGGGAAAUCCGCGCGCUUAACGCGCGGGCGUCCGGUGGAAACUGUUCGGCUU